This 1121-nucleotide long non-coding RNA is filed under the name Paramuricea clavata. The record is from RNAcentral. Lineage: Eukaryota; Metazoa; Cnidaria; Anthozoa; Malacalcyonacea; Plexauridae.
CCUUUUUGUCGCGGACUAGGCAAAGUUUUGUAACAUAUACAUUCGUCCUGUUUUCCUGUAUAGCGGACUGACAGCAGACUGAAAGUGCAGCAGAUUUCAAGUGGGAUUUUAAAGCUAAAUGCUGACAUGUCGUCCACAAAACAGUGUAUUUCAUGUAAUCGCGAGGUUAGUAUCUGAAUGCAGAGCACAUGAAGUUUUGUUGUAUGUUUAAUUUAAAUUCAGAAAUAUUAAUUGCAGUGGCAUUUAAUUAAGGCUCGGUGAAUCGAGGAUGAGAGUACGUUGACUGGAAUUGAAGAGAGUUUUAACUUCCCCUCGCGUUUGACCGCAAACUCUAUAUAUACAGUGUACAUCUCAUCUAUCGACUCUCAUUCGGCUCUCAUCAUCUUUGAGCUGGAUCAAAUUUUGACGAGAGUUGAUGCAUGGGAGUCAGUUUUGCUCGUAGUUUGAGUGCAACUCUCACACAACUCUUGUUCUCGUUUGACCGGGGUAUAUAAAUAUAAGAGAUGAGAAAAUUCUCUUAUACACAAUGCCUUCGUUUCUCAACUCUAGAGCAUCUUCGUUUGACCGGGAGAUUUAUUCUAAAUCAUCGCACAUUAAUUCCGUGUAGGCCUAUAACUAUAUCAGCGUAUAGAAUUUCUUCCGCUUUCCAAGUUUUCUGCAUGUCGUAGGUUUAAUUCGUAUGAUUUGGUAUAUUUGCAUGUAUAUUCUCAGACAAGGUUAAUUAAUAUAUAAAGAAAUAUUAGACACAUGAAUUGAUUGUGCUUCCUGAAAAAGUCGUAGAAACAAUUCGACGUUGCACGCAAGCGAAGGCUCUUCGGCUUUGUCAACACUGAAGAGGUUUCGUUAUAUACUAGCCAUUUUUUCAGAAACAAACCAUAUGGCAUCUUGACCUAUAUAUAGCUAGAAUUCAAGACUAUGGUCUAGAUAUAACUAUAUACAUGCAGCUAUGCCCAUGCGCCUCAGAAACUUGCCUAAUUAUACGUUAGAGUCGACUUGUUUUGUGUAAAAUAUUAUUAUAGUGUGUUAAUAUUAUUUAUUCAGAUGCCAAUCUCAAGUGAAUCAUGUGUUUGUGGUCACGUAUUAUCAGAUAUCAAGUCCUUGGAAGGAAAAAGAUAUUCUGG